RNAcentral lists this long non-coding RNA (1182 nucleotides) under Capsicum annuum. RNAcentral describes it as "long non-coding RNA (CANN_LNC010661)". Lineage: Eukaryota; Viridiplantae; Streptophyta; Magnoliopsida; Solanales; Solanaceae. The record is from RNAcentral.
AACUGGAUAACAGAAUUAAAACAUUUCGGUUAAGCGUCAAUCAACGAUGAAUUGGCAGAAGCAGCAGUAACAUCAUUCAAUUUCAGCAUGAGAAGCUCAUGUAUAAUAUUGCAUGAAGCAGCUCAGAAAAUCAGAAGUUCCAGCAAGGGGCGGAAAACUUAUAAUUCACGACGCAAGGAACAAAUGUUUCAGGUUAUCUAAUAUGCAAAAUCUAGAACAAGAACUCAUAGAUAGGAUAUAGUUUCCUAACCUUGUCUAGAUGAAAUACGAGUUAAUGGCCAAAAACACACGUAAAAUAUGCCGAGUGUUUAAGUUUCAUUCCUGAACUAAUCGCAAGGAACAAAUGUUUCAGGUUAUCCAAUAUGCAAAAACUAUAACGAGAACUCAUAUAUAGGAGAUAGUUUCUGAACCUUGUCGAGACGAAAUAAGAGUUAAUGGUCAAAAACACACCUACAGUAUCCCGGGUGUUUAAUUUCGUUCCUGAACUAUCAGGUGUGCGAGUGUACUAGUUCCCUACCUGAACUAUCACCAAGUAUUUAUCAAAACACACCUCAACUCGCAGUUGUUCCCUUCCUAUUUUCCUACCUGAAAUAUCACCAUCGUUCAGGUGUGGAAGAAGGGGAUAGAGGUGUUUAAGGCACUUCGAGGCAACUGUCGCUAGGCGCCCAUUGGGCAUGUCAGCGUGCAGUGUGGGCACAUGGCAGCAUGCAUGGCUAGUCCAUGCGAGCCGCCGGUACCCGCAAAACCACGUCGACGACGGUUCAUUGCGCCCGUGUCGGCUAUCAGUGGCAUCGUCCACGGCGGGCCUUUUGGCGUUUGAUUUCGGACGAGGCAAUGCUUUUGUGCGUGCAAUGAGUUCUGGAUACUGCUCUUAGCGCGGCACGCAUGGGGCCGAGCUCGACGCCCGUGCGGAAGGCACAACAACAAUUGAUAGUUGAGGUGUGCUUUGAUAAAUAGUUAGUGAUAGUUCAGCUAGGAAACUCCCCCCCGAUAGUUCAGGUAUGAAACUCGAAAAACCGGGAUACUUUCAUUGUGUUUUUAACCCUUCACGCACAAAAUAACUGAAGACCAAAUGGAACUAACCAACCUAUUGAGAUUCCUCUUUAAUUAAUUAAUGCAACUACUAAAACUAAAUAGUGUUUUUUGAGAAUAUCCACUUCUUCUGUUCCGAUAUAAUACCUG